GGUAUAAACGGAGGUCGGAGCCAGCUGCAAAUGGGAGGGUUAGCAGCAAGUGGGUGGAGCUUUACCCGCAAGUGGGCUGUACAAACUUCCAGAGGAUUUUGAUUGGUUUAUUUAUAUCAACUGUAGCAGCUAUUGGUUUAUGCUCCACAGUUGGUGGCGCUAAUGUGUAAGUUUUGUUGCGAUCGAUCAGAAAACAAAGAAGAAACCCGCUUUCACAUGUUAGCGUGUCGUUGAAAUGAAGGUGUAAGCUUGCUUUACAGUUUUUAGUUUUGUAAAAAAGCAUUAUAAGUUCUGAAGAAGACCAUUUUAUAAUGGCGUUUGUACGCUGUUUUUAGUCUUGAUGUAUUAAAAAAGAUAAGGGUAAAGUGUAUCCAGAUACAUUUCUGUAGUUUUUUAUUAGCACACAAAUUACAAAAUCUGUAACGUGGAUGACAAAAUCUUUUCUGCAUUCCAUUUCUACAAUUUGCUCUCCAGAUUAUGGAUUCUGAAGACCAUAAUAAUAAGGACAAUGCAGGACAAAGGCUGUCAAAUAACUGGAGUGUUUGUCUUGAUGGCAAUAUGCACUGUAUGUUAUUCUGGGACAGAAGUUUGACUUCACUGAAAACAUAGAAAAUGGUGGUGUGCCAUCUUGCUUGAAAAUUAAGUAAGUGUGAAAAAAUUAGCUGUACUUUUAACGUGGUGUUUUAAGAAACUCUUAAAGAAGUGAAAAAAAUCUUGUUCAGUCUGUAAACUGUUUUGGGAAGACAUGGAACGGAAUGAUUUAGUGACUCGCUCAUAACACUAUUUCAGUAAAAAUAUAUACUGCAGACACUUUGAGUGAAAAGAGUGUUUCAGUGAUGAUAAAAAUCAGCAGGUGUAAACACUACUUGCUCUAUCAAACUCCUUUAAUAGCUUUUCUUAAUACUAUUAGGGGUUGGCAAGAUUUUGAAAUGUUGUUGUAUUCAUUGGUGAAUAAUUUAAAAUUGGACCAUUAAUUGGAUUGUUUCUAUAUUUACAAAAGUCUUUACUGUAAUUUGUAAUCAAUGUAAUGCAUCCUUGCAUUUAAUUAAUUUUGAUAUUGAACUUGUUCUAUUUCUUACUUUAUUUGUUUUUGUUGCAUGGCAAUCAAAUUGUGGAAGACAUGGGAGAAAGAGAAAAUGAGCUGUUGUAGCUGGUAUUGUCAGCUUUUUAUAUUUUGCUGAUAUUUUUGUCAAAUAAAAAAUUAAUGGAUAAUUUUAUCACGUUUUUAUUCUAAUUCUCUUUCAGAAGAAGAAUGCUCUGCACUCCCUGAAACCUAGGGGAAGAAAAAAACUGAACUUGCAUAUGAAAGUAAGAACUUUGCUAUAAAACAAAAUACAUAUACUUUGCUGGGUUUCAAAUUAUGUAACUAUAAUUCAUUUCAGCAGACCAAACCCCAGUUGUGCCCUCUGUUUUGCAUAAUCAAUUGCAAUGAUGAUUUCAAAUGUGUGUCAUAGAACAAUUUUAAUCCACUUAUAUUUUUCUUUAAUGAUGAGCAGUUAAAAGAUGAUGACCCUCCAUCAUGCUUCAUCUUCAAGGUAGUUGAAUGUUAUAUAAUGUGCUUUUUAACAUUUUUUAACGGCCUGUGCUAACUUUGCAGUUAUCAGGAGCGUUGCUGAAGAAUAUACUUCUUGAAGUUGUUCUUCAAGAAGGAGAUGCUGCCUACACGACCCUGUCAUUGGCUUGCUCAAGGUUCAGGGACAUAGUUGGGGAUGACAAGUUCAAGAAUCAGGCACACUUCUUAUGGCUAGAAAGUGUUACAUGCUGGAAAAAAGUCAUCUCACUACAAACAGCUCUUCUGGAAGAUGUACUCAUUCUCCACGUGUUUGCUGCACACCUGGUUAUGCUGGGAAGGGAAAGCGAGGUGAACUCCAGGGCAUUUAUUCAAAAACCUUCCACCCUGGAUUUUGCAGAUUUGACUGCAUGCAGAUCAGUUCUAGUGAGCUGAUAUAGUUUCCUUACAAAGACUAAAAAUAAUAAAAUAAAACAAACACUUUUGCAAACAA
Molecule: non-coding RNA, 2003 nt
Organism: Misgurnus anguillicaudatus (oriental weatherfish)
Lineage: Eukaryota; Metazoa; Chordata; Actinopteri; Cypriniformes; Cobitidae
Source: RefSeq, a predicted model, not a curated record